ACCCUUGUGGCGUAGGGUAGCACUCGUCCCUGGUAUGGAUGAAGUGCGGGUUCGACUCCCGCCUGAGGUA
Molecule: non-coding RNA, 70 nt
Organism: Parelaphostrongylus tenuis
Lineage: Eukaryota; Metazoa; Nematoda; Chromadorea; Rhabditida; Metastrongylidae
Source: the annotation of a GenBank genome assembly